UACGUAGGGGGCAAGCGUUGUCCGGAAUUAUUGGGCGUAAAGAGCGCGUAGGCGGCCCGAUAAGUCGACUGUGAAAGUCUAGGGCUCAACCCUGGAAAGCCGGUCGAUACUGUCGGACUAGAGUCCGGAAGAGGCAAGUGGAAUUCCCGGUGUAGCGGUGAAAUGCGCAGAUAUCGGGAGGAACACCAAUGGCGAAGGCAGCUUGCUGGGACGGUACUGACGCUGAGGCGCGAAAGCCAGGGGAGCAAACGGG
RNAcentral lists this ribosomal RNA (253 nucleotides) under uncultured bacterium. Its description in RNAcentral is "partial 16S ribosomal RNA". It matches the Rfam family "Bacterial small subunit ribosomal RNA", at positions 524 to 776 of the family's 1533-position model. The record is from RNAcentral.